CCGCGCUAGUUGGGGAGUCAGCGGUGCCCUGUAGCCUGCAACCCGCUACAGCAGGGAUGAAUUCCUGCCCGAGGGGUCGUUGUGUGUCGUCAGCCCGGGGCAAGAGGCGUUGACGGACCGGUCUCGCGCAAUAUUGAUUCGUGAACCAUGUCAGGCGGGGAACCGAGCAGCAUUAAGCGAAACCCAGUGUGUGCCGCGAGGCUACCGGUCCCGAGCAGGCUGCCCCGGUAACGGGCAUACCGCGUUCUCAGAGGCGGGUGCGCGG
This 265-nucleotide signal recognition particle RNA is filed under the name Oscillospiraceae bacterium. RNAcentral's name for it is "signal recognition particle sRNA large type". It matches the Rfam family "Bacterial large signal recognition particle RNA". From Rfam's summary of the family: The signal recognition particle (SRP) is a universally conserved ribonucleoprotein involved in the co-translational targeting of proteins to membranes. Archaeal SRP consists of a 7S RNA and homologues of the eukaryotic SRP19 and SRP54 proteins. In most bacteria, the SRP consists of a 4.5S RNA and the Ffh protein (a homologue of the eukaryotic SRP54 protein). Lineage: Bacteria; Bacillati; Bacillota; Clostridia; Eubacteriales; Oscillospiraceae. The record is from RNAcentral.